This 529-nucleotide ribosomal RNA is filed under the name uncultured bacterium. Its description in RNAcentral is "partial 16S ribosomal RNA". It matches the Rfam family "Bacterial small subunit ribosomal RNA", at positions 355 to 900 of the family's 1533-position model. The record is from RNAcentral.
UGGGGAAUAUUGCACAAUGGGCGAAAGCCUGAUGCAGCAACGCCGCGUGAGUGAUGAAGGUCUUCGGAUUGUAAAGCUCUGUCUUUUGGGACGAUAAUGACGGUACCAAAGGAGGAAGCCACGGCUAACUACGUGCCAGCAGCCGCGGUAAUACGUAGGUGGCGAGCGUUGUCCGGAUUUACUGGGCGUAAAGGGUGCGUAGGCGGAUGUUUAAGUGAGAUGUGAAAUACCCGGGCUUAACUUGGGUGCUGCAUUUCAAACUGGAUAUCUAGAGUGCAGGAGAGGAGAAUGGAAUUCCUAGUGUAGCGGUGAAAUGCGUAGAGAUUAGGAAGAACACCAGUGGCAAAGGCGAUUCUCUGGACUGUAACUGACGCUGAGGCACGAAAGCGUGGGUAGCAAACAGGAUUAGAUACCCUGGUAGUCCACGCCGUAAACGAUGAGUACUAGGUGUAGGAGGUAUCGACCCCUUCUGUGCCGCAGUAAACACAUUAAGUACUCCGCCUGGGAAGUACGAUCGCAAGAUUAAAAC